CAAGAACUUCCGGCACAGGCUGAGUAGUGGUGUAAAAAUGGCUUUGGAAUGGCAACAUUCGACCGAAAAUCUUGUUAAAAGUUUUGACCAUUCCGCAUCCAAGUAAGGUAACAUCAUGGCCGGACAACAUGUCGAUAUGGCCCAGCAUCACAACAUCCAAGAUCUUUUCUUAUUUUAUUGAUUCCAUGGCGGUGGAUGGGAAUGCAAUUAAUAACCUAAGAAAGCUCAGAGGCGUUUCAGUACCUCCAUUCCGACAAAGUGGGCUGUGUACUUUUACACGAUAUGGGCAUAGAACGGCCGAUGUUCAACCAAGCCAGUCCGUUAACAAUUCAGCGCGUAACGCCUGGGUUUUGGUUACCAAGACGGGAGAUGUGGAGCUUUGCGCUUUGGAAGCAUUUAACCCUUCAAAGUCGACUGACGAGCGUCAAAGUGCGCACCCCUGACAUAUCUAUUAAUAGCUUCGGAAUGGAUAAAAGUACAGGAGGUUCCCCAGGCCUCCAUGGGAUUUUCUCCCUUUGAACUUUUGUUUGGACACCGAGGGGGGGGUGAUGGACCUAAUUAAAGAAAACUGGGAGGAAGGUCCGAGCCCCGGCAAGAUCGAGAUCCAGUACGUCCUGGACCUGCGAGCAGAGGAGCCAGGCUGCGGCAAUUCACACCGGGAGAAAAGGUACUUUUAUUACUUCCAACUCUAAACUAAGCUAAGUGGCAAGGGCCCUUUGAGUUGUCACACGGAAGGUGGGGGAUGUUGCAAAUAUACCACCUAAACCUCCUGAAAGCCUCGAGGGAGGUGGAGUCUGUUUCUCUGGUGUCCGCGGUAUCAGAAAAAAAGAGCUAGGGCCGGAGGUGGCAAAAGCGGUUAAUCCCACCCCACCCCGCUCUCGUGCGAGGCCCGUCUCUCCGAGGACCAGAGAACGGUUUAUCGUGGACUAUGGCAGGGUGAACGAGGUGUUACAAUUUGAUGCCUACCCAAUGCCCCGGGUCGACUAACUCCUGGACUGGCUGGGCACUGCAUGUUUCUUUACGACCCUGGAUUUGACUAAGAGCUACUGGCAGAUUCCUCUGUCGUCAGAGUCCAAGGAAAAAACUGCUUACUCCACUCCGUAUGGGUUAUACCAAUUUACCACACUUCCCUUUGGCUCGUUCGGUGCCCCGGCCACGUUUCAACGGUUCAUGGACUGGGUACUGCGUCCACACGCCGCCUAUGCUGCCGCCUACUUGGAUGAUGUUGUUAUUAUCCACAGCACCACCUGGGCGGAGCACGUGUGGCGGGUAGGUGGGGGAAGUGUGCAGUUGAAGGGAGGUACGGUAUUUGCGGUACCACUUGGGGGGCGGGCAGGCGUGCACUCAGGUGGACAAGACGCCAGCUAUCGCGGCCUGCCCACGACCCAAGACUAAAAAAGAGGUUAGGUGGUUUUGGGGCAGGCGGGGUAUUACAGGCGCUUCAUCCCCGGCUUUGCGGACUUCACCAGCCCCUUGACUGAUCUGACCCGGAAAGGUCAGUCAGAUCCAGUGGUCGGAGCCAGCAGGCGUUUGAGAAGGUAAAGCAGACUCUCUGUGGGGAACCACUCCUCUACACCCCUAACUUUUCUUUUCCCUUUACUUUGCAGACAGACUCAUCGGACAAGGGGCUGGGUGCCGUUUUGUCCCAGGAGGUGGGGGGGGAGAGUUGACUGCCCCGUGUUAUAAAUCAGCCGGAGGCUGUCCGAGUGGGAGGCCAGGUACAGCACGGUGGAGUAGGAGUGCCUGGCCAUCCAGUGGGCGUUGGACUCCCUGCGCUACUACCUCCUGGGACGUCAUUCACCCUCUGUUCGGACCACGACCCGCUCCCCGCAUGAAGGAUACCAUACUAAUCUCCGCUCCCUCUUUUUUAAAUUGGUUCUGUUCAACCCUCUUUAAUGUUUUGUGUCUGUCUUUUUUGUUUUAUUUUUGUGUGAACUUUGUGGGAAUCGUAUUGCAUCUGUAAGUGUCGGUAUUGUUAAUAUUUCUUCUUUUAUCUGGCCGUAGAGUCGAUCAUGCCCGUUCCUGUGAACACCAAAUUGACUUGAGAAUCCUCAAGCUGAAAUAACAUCACCUGCCCAAAGUUCCAGUUUCCUGAAUACAAAGCCCUCUGUUUGGGAAUUUAUCCCACCUGACGAGUCUCGACGCAGUGACUCAAACAUCUUUGUCAAGGUUAAUUACAGAGGAUCAUUGCAGUCCAAAUUGAACACUGACUGGUCAACAUGAGUCGUCAAGUGCAUGUGUGUGACUCCCCACCGGGUUGUGUGACCUCCUCAGUCAAGUCUGGACUCAGUGAUUCAUUACUCUUGAUCAUGUUUACUCAUUUAUGGACACAUGCUGUUUUUUGUGUUUAGCUAUAGCUAAAGUUAAAAUCCAUUCCAAAACAAUUGUAUACUGUAUUUUUUGUAAUUGAAUUAUUUUUUCUUUUUAAUGUUUGCACUUGUCUCAAUUUUUUCUUUGGCCUAGAUGUCAAGCAAACGUUGGACCUGUCCCACACGUACUUUUUUCCUUUCAACCUUAGGCUAAUCUUAAAAGGAAGAGGUAGUGUGCAUUAGAAAGAGGGGUAGAGAACUGGCACAACUUCCAGUCUUUGUUUGUGCCACGCUCUUACAUUAUUAUUUUAUUGUGUAAUUUAACAACUGAAAAGUUGAUUCUUAUGCCCACAGUAAUUUCCUGCCUCCCUCCCUCAUUUACAGAGACUCACUCUUGUGGCCAAUUAGUCAAUGUCUGUUGAAAUGUCUUCAUUUUUCAUUUGAGUGUUCAUUGAUCAGUAUAAUUGUAAUUAAUAAGCCAAUUUCACUUGGCAGAGAUGGGAGUUUUUGGCACUUGUUUUGAAUACCCUCAGUUAGUUACGGGGGAGGAAACGAGGGUCUCAUUAACUAGGUCGAAAUACAUGACUUUAUUAAUCUUCUACUGCCUGGGAUGUUAAAGAUUUGGUAUCAUCAGGCAGUUUAUGCUGUAUGGUAUUCACCACUGCACAUCUAGAGCUGACCUGAAAACACUGCUAUUGAUGGAUUCUGCUUGUGUGAACACCUGAUAAAGAAAAUGAAAGAGCUAAAGGAGGGUAAGCACUGGACAUAUGUUUGUUAGGGCAUUGUUACGGCCUUUUGGAAUGUUUAGGGAUAUGGCUGCAAGGCGAGCAAAAUAGCUGAAAGUGUAUCUACUUUGCCUGUGAACAUAGCAACCAGGAAAAGGAAGUUUAAUUAGGGAAAGGUUUUCAGUCUUCUAUACAACUCAACAUCACGGUUGUAAUUUUUGUCUUUUAAAGGGCUUUCCAGUCUUUAAACAUGCAACAUCCUCUGUCCCGAAACCCUUACAACAGCACAGGAAAAACUUGAUGAAAAAACCCUUUAACCGGGAGAAAAGAGGAAGAAAGGGCAUAGGAGGGAUCCCUCUAUCAAAAUGAACAACACGUAAAAGAUGUACAGUAUGUACGAAAUAUGACAGAAAUAAUUUAGAGUAGUGGGCGUCGUCACGACUUAAAAUGACUACUGAUAAUAAAAGCUGUAUUGGAUGAAGAAGGCUAACAAUAAUAACAAAUGAUUAUGGUGUCAGCAAUAGUGAUAUGACUACUGUAAAGGGCUGAGGGGCAGAAUAGGAAAAGGGGUGUAUGUACCUACACCAUCGGAAUCAAGCCAUCGCAAUCAGGUGUGCCAGGAGACAUACCUGGACCUCAUCAAGGGGGGUACAAAAGAAGGCGGAAGGAGCAGUGAAGGGAGACAAGUUGAGGGAGGACCCCGUAAGCGGCCCG
Gasterosteus aculeatus aculeatus (three-spined stickleback) is the source of this 3748-nucleotide long non-coding RNA. NCBI's taxonomy places the organism in Eukaryota, Metazoa, Chordata, Actinopteri, Perciformes, Gasterosteidae. The record is from Ensembl.